Molecule: ribosomal RNA, 494 nt
Filed under: uncultured bacterium
Lineage: Bacteria
Description: partial 16S ribosomal RNA
Rfam family: Bacterial small subunit ribosomal RNA
Source: RNAcentral
GACGAACGCUGGCGGCGUGCUUAACACAUGCAAGUCGAACGGUGAAGCGCCUUCCUUUUUGGUGGGUGUGGAUGAGUGGCGAACGGGUGAGUAACACGUGAGUAACCUGCCCCCUUCUUCUGGAUAACCGCAUGAAAGUGUGGCUAAUACGGGAUAUUCUGGGUCUGUCGCAUGAUGGGUCUGGGAAAGAUAUUGUUUCGGUGGGGGAUGGGCUCGCGGCCUAUCAGCUUGUUGGUGGGGUGAUGGCCUACCGAGGCGGUGACGGGUAGCCGGCCUGAGAGGGUGGACGGUCACACUGGGACUGAGACACGGCCCAGACUCCUACGGGAGGCAGCAGUGGGGAAUAUUGCACAAUGGGCGCAAGCCUGAUGCAGCGACGCCGCGUGAGGGAUGGAGGCCUUCGGGUUGUGAACCUCUUUCGCCAGUGAAGCAGGCCUGCCUCGUUUGUGGGUGGGUUGACGGUAGCUGGAGAAGAAGCGCCGGCUAACUACGUG